This 197-nucleotide small RNA is filed under the name Marmota monax (woodchuck). Lineage: Eukaryota; Metazoa; Chordata; Mammalia; Rodentia; Sciuridae. The record is from RNAcentral.
GCUGGGCAUGGUGGCACAUGCCUGUAAUCACAGUGGCUCAGGAGGCUGAGGCAGGAGGAUAGCAACUUCAAAGGCAGCCUCAGCAAAAGUGAGGCACUAAGCAACUCAGUGAGACCCUGUCUCUAAAUAAAAUACAAUAUAGGGCUGGGGAUGUGGCUCAGUGGCUGAGUGCCUCUGAAUUCAAUCUCCAGUAUCCC